AUAAAAUAAAAUAAAAUAAAAUAAAAUUGGAUCACUACGGAGAGGAUUAACCCAGCCCCUGCAUAAGGAGAACACGCAAAUUCGUGAAGCAUCUCCUAUUUUC
Small nuclear RNA from Sorex araneus (European shrew), 103 nucleotides. NCBI's taxonomy places the organism in Eukaryota, Metazoa, Chordata, Mammalia, Eulipotyphla, Soricidae. The record is from RefSeq and is a predicted model, not a curated record.